AAUUCGCCCUUGAGCACGUAGGUGGGUUUGUAAGUCAGGUGUGAAAGCCUUCUGUUCAACGGGAGAAUUGCAUCUGAAACUACGAAUCUUGAGUGUAGGAGGGGAGAAUGGAACUUCUGGUGGAGCGGUGAAAUGCGUAGAUAUCAGAAGGAACGCCGGCGGCGAAAGCGAUUCUCUGGCCUAUUACUGACACUCAGUGUGCGAAAGCUAGGGGAGCAAACGGGAUUAGAUACCCCGGUAGUCCUAGCCGUAAACGAUGGGCACUAAGUAGUGGGAAUUACCGAUGUUCUCUCUGCCGUAGCUAACGCAUUAAGUGCCCCGCCUGGAGAGUACGGCCGCAAGGCUAAAACCCAAAAGAAUUGACGGGGGCUCGCACAAGCGGUGGAGCAUGUGGCUUAAUUCGAUGCAACGCGAAAAACCUUACCGGGGCUUGACAUGUUAGAAGUAGGAACCUGAAAGGGUAACGAACGGUAUCCAGUCCGUAGCUAUCACAGGUGUUGCAUGGCUGUCGUCAGCUCGUGUCGUGAGACGUUGGGUUAAGUCCCCUAACGAGCGAAACCCUUGUUUUUAGUUACCAGCGGGUUAUGCCGGGUACUCUAGAAAGACUGCCGUCGUCAAGACGGAGGAAGGUGGGGAUGACGUCAAGUCAUCAUGGCCCUUAUGCCCCGGGCUGCACACGUGCUACAAUGGUCGGUACAAACGGAAGCGAAGCCGAGAGGUGAAGCGAAUCCAAGGGCGAAUU
RNAcentral lists this ribosomal RNA (742 nucleotides) under uncultured Planctomycetota bacterium. RNAcentral describes it as "bacterial SSU rRNA". It matches the Rfam family "Bacterial small subunit ribosomal RNA", at positions 552 to 1283 of the family's 1533-position model. Lineage: Bacteria; Pseudomonadati; Planctomycetota. The record is from RNAcentral.